UCGUCCUCCUGCCAACCAUCUAAUUCCUAGUUGGGAAGGUUACAU
This 45-nucleotide small nucleolar RNA is filed under the name Drosophila erecta. Its description in RNAcentral is "snoRNA:GG26058". The record is from RNAcentral. Lineage: Eukaryota; Metazoa; Arthropoda; Insecta; Diptera; Drosophilidae.